Molecule: ribosomal RNA, 483 nt
Filed under: uncultured bacterium
Lineage: Bacteria
Description: partial 16S ribosomal RNA
Rfam family: Bacterial small subunit ribosomal RNA
Source: RNAcentral
GACGAACGCCGGCGGCGUGCUUAACACAUGCAAGUCGAACGCUGAAGCUCAGCUUUUGUUGGGUGGAUGAGUGGCGAACGGGUGAGUAACACGUGAGUAACCUGCCCCCUUCUUUGGGAUAACGCCCGGAAACGGGUGCUAAUACUGGAUAUUCACUGGUCUUCGCAUGGGGGUUGGUGGAAAGGGUUUUUCUGGUGGGGGAUGGGCUCGCGGCCUAUCAGCUUGUUGGUGGGGUGAUGGCCUACCAAGGCUUUGACGGGUAGCCGGCCUGAGAGGGUGACCGGUCACAUUGGGACUGAGAUACGGCCCAGACUCCUACGGGAGGCAGCAGUGGGGAAUAUUGCACAAUGGGCGCAAGCCUGAUGCAGCGACGCCGCGUGAGGGAUGGAGGCCUUCGGGUUGUGAACCUCUUUCGCUCAUGGUCAAGCCGCAACAAUGGUUGUGGUGAGGGUAGUGGGUAAAGAAGCGCCGGCUAACUACGUG